RNAcentral lists this ribosomal RNA (301 nucleotides) under uncultured bacterium. Its description in RNAcentral is "partial 16S ribosomal RNA". It matches the Rfam family "Bacterial small subunit ribosomal RNA", at positions 509 to 807 of the family's 1533-position model. The record is from RNAcentral.
CAGCCGCCGCGGUAAUACGAAGGGGGCUAGCGUUGUUCGGAUUUACUGGGCGUAAAGGGUGCGUAGGCGGAUUGUUAAGUCAGGGGUGAAAUCCCGAGGCUCAACCUCGGAACUGCCUUUGAUACUGGCGAUCUUGAGUCCGGGAGAGGUGAGUGGAACUGCGAGUGUAGAGGUGAAAUUCGUAGAUAUUCGCAAGAACACCGGUGGCGAAGGCGGCUCACUGGCCCGGAACUGACGCUGAGGCACGAAAGCGUGGGGAGCAAACAGGAUUAGAUACCCCCGUAGUCCCUGUUUCUUAUAC